UGCGAAGGGGGCUAGCGUUGUUCGGAAUUACUGGGCGUAAAGGGCGCGUAGGCGGCGUGUCAAGUCAGGCGUGAAAGCCCCGGGCUCAACCUGGGAACCGCGCUUGAGACUGGCAUGCUCGAGUUCGGGAGAGGACGGUGGAAUUCCCAGUGUAGAGGUGAAAUUCGUAGAUAUCAGGAGGAACAUCGGCGGCGAAGGCGGCUUUCUGGCUCAUUACUGACGUUCAGGUACGAAAGCGUGGGUAGCAAACAGG
This 253-nucleotide ribosomal RNA is filed under the name uncultured bacterium. Its description in RNAcentral is "partial 16S ribosomal RNA". It matches the Rfam family "Bacterial small subunit ribosomal RNA", at positions 524 to 776 of the family's 1533-position model. The record is from RNAcentral.